GCGGAAGUAGCUCAGGGGUAGAGCACAACCUUGCCAAGGUUGGGGUCGCGGGUUCGAAUCCCGUCUUCCGCU
This 72-nucleotide transfer RNA is filed under the name Synergistes jonesii. It matches the Rfam family "tRNA". From Rfam's summary of the family: Transfer RNA (tRNA) molecules are approximately 80 nucleotides in length. Their secondary structure includes four short double-helical elements and three loops (D, anti-codon, and T loops). Lineage: Bacteria; Thermotogati; Synergistota; Synergistia; Synergistales; Synergistaceae. The record is from Rfam by way of RNAcentral. RNAcentral also lists the same sequence under 2 other names.